GACGAACGCUGGCGGCGUGCCUAAUACAUGCAAGUCGAGCGAAGUUUUUCUGGUGCUUGCACUAGAAAAACUUAGCGGCGAACGGGUGAGUAACACGUAAAGAACCUGCCUCAUAGACUGGGACAACUAUUGGAAACGAUAGCUAAUACCGGAUAACAGUAUUUCUCGCAUGAGAGAUAUUUAAAAGUUGGUUAUGCUAACACUAUGAGAUGGCUUUGCGGUGCAUUAGCUAGUUGGUGGGGUAAAGGCCCACCAAGGCGACGAUGCAUAGCCGACCUGAGAGGGGGAUCGGCCAAACUGGGACUGAGACACGGCCCAGACUCCUACGGGAGGCAGCAGUAGGGAAUCUUCCGCAAUGGGCGAAAGCCUGACGGAGCAACGCCGCGUGAGUGAAGAAGGAUUUCGGUUCGUAAAGCUCUGUUGUUAGGGAAGAAUGGAUAUGUAGUAACUAUACAUGUAAGAGACGGUACCUAACCAGAAAGCCACGGCUAACUACGUG
RNAcentral lists this ribosomal RNA (499 nucleotides) under uncultured bacterium. Its description in RNAcentral is "partial 16S ribosomal RNA". It matches the Rfam family "Bacterial small subunit ribosomal RNA", at positions 28 to 507 of the family's 1533-position model. The record is from RNAcentral.